GGUGUGACUGCGUACCUUUUGUAUAAUGGGUCAGCGACUUAUAUUCUGUAGCAAGGUUAACCGUAUAGGGGAGCCGAAGGGAAACCGAGUCUUAACUGGGCGUUAAGUUGCAGGGUAUAGACCCGAAACCCGGUGAUCUAGCCAUGGGCAGGUUGAAGGUUGGGUAACACUAACUGGAGGACCGAACCGACUAAUGUUGAAAAAUUAGCGGAUGACCUGUGGCUGGGGGUGAAAGGCCAAUCAAACCGGGAGAUAGCUGGUUCUCCCCGAAAGCUAUUUAGGUAGCGCCUCGUGAACUCAUCUUCGGGGGUAGAGCACUGUUUCGGCUAGGGGGCCAUCCCGGCUUACCAACCCGAUGCAAACUACGAAUACCGAAGAAUGUUAUCACGGGAGACACACGGCGGGUGCUAACGUCCGUCGUGAAGAGGGAAACAACCCAGACCGCCAGCUAAGGUCCCAAAGUCAUGGUUAAGUGGGAAACGAUGUGGGAAGGCCCAGACAGCCAGGAUGUUGGCUUAGAAGCAGCCAUCAUU
This 533-nucleotide ribosomal RNA is filed under the name Enterobacter cloacae. RNAcentral describes it as "bacterial LSU rRNA". It matches the Rfam family "Bacterial large subunit ribosomal RNA", at positions 590 to 1123 of the family's 2925-position model. Lineage: Bacteria; Pseudomonadati; Pseudomonadota; Gammaproteobacteria; Enterobacterales; Enterobacteriaceae. The record is from RNAcentral.